RNAcentral lists this ribosomal RNA (305 nucleotides) under uncultured bacterium. Its description in RNAcentral is "bacterial SSU rRNA". It matches the Rfam family "Bacterial small subunit ribosomal RNA", at positions 335 to 656 of the family's 1533-position model. The record is from RNAcentral.
UGGCCUACGGGACGCAGCAGUCGGGAAUAUUGCGCAAUGGAGGAAACUCUGACGCAGUGACGCCGCGUGCAGGAAGAAGGUUUUCGGAUUGUAAACUGCUUUAGACAGGGAAGAAAAAAGACAGUACCUGUAGAAUAAGCUCCGGCUAACUACGUGCCAGCAGCCGCGGUAAUACGUAGGGGGCAAGCGUUAUCCGGAUUUACUGGGUGUAAAGGGAGCGUAGACGGCAGUGCAAGUCCGGAGUGAAAGCCCGGGGCUCAACCCUGGGACUGCUCUGGAAACUGUAAAGCUGGAGUGCGGGAGGG